CAGCAGCCACGGUAAUACGAAGGGUGCAAGCGUUAAUCGGAAUUACUGGGCGUAAAGCGUGCGUAGGCGGUUUGUUAAGUCUGCUGUGAAAUCCCCGGGCUCAACCUGGGAAUGGCAGUGGAUACUGGCAAGCUAGAGUGUGUCAGAGGAUGGUGGAAUUCCCGGUGUAGCGGUGAAAUGCGUAGAGAUCGGGAGGAACAUCAGUGGCGAAGGCGGCCAUCUGGGACAACACUGACGCUGAGGCACGAAAGCGUGGGGAGCAAACAGGAUUAGAUACCCCUGUAGUCCCUGUCUCUUAUAC
This 301-nucleotide ribosomal RNA is filed under the name uncultured bacterium. RNAcentral describes it as "partial 16S ribosomal RNA". It matches the Rfam family "Bacterial small subunit ribosomal RNA", at positions 509 to 807 of the family's 1533-position model. The record is from RNAcentral.